This 557-nucleotide long non-coding RNA is filed under the name Actinidia chinensis (golden kiwifruit). RNAcentral describes it as "long non-coding RNA (ACHI_LNC001249)". The record is from RNAcentral. Lineage: Eukaryota; Viridiplantae; Streptophyta; Magnoliopsida; Ericales; Actinidiaceae.
UUGAACAAGAACUAAGGAAGAAGAACAUGAGAUUGAGAUGAGUGGAUUUCAAUAUUUUCAUGAUGAGAAUGGGGUUCCACCAGAAGAGCUCAAUACAAGAUGAGAGAGAGCUCUCAUUGAGACAUAAAAUAAGUACGAGUUCGAGUAGCAAAAGACGAUGUACCCAGAAAAAGUAUUUCAAAAAAACGAGAAAACAAUUGGAUGGGUUAGAUUUAACUUUGAUGUGGUCAGAUCCAUCCCAUGCCACCGGGGUGGAUCUAGUUCGUAUAUUCUAUUUUUCUAGGUCAUUUUCAACUUGAAGGUUGUUUUAUACUUCCAAAAGUAUGUAAAUGAUAGCAAGGAUAAUCUCUUCAACUAACUUUUUUUUUUUUUUUCAGGAGGAUUCAAUAUGCUUAAUAUGUCAACACUGUUAAAAAGAAAGCUAAGAAGUAUUGCUUAAACUCCAGUCUCCACUAAUGGAUGCCACAAGCCCUCGCAUUAUCUUGAUGUAGUGAUUUGUAACAUUCAGACCUAUAACUUAAUGUUACUCCAAUGAAAUAGGUAGCUCUAAAAUCAAG